RNAcentral lists this transfer RNA (75 nucleotides) under compost metagenome. RNAcentral's name for it is "tRNA-Ile". It matches the Rfam family "tRNA". From Rfam's summary of the family: Transfer RNA (tRNA) molecules are approximately 80 nucleotides in length. Their secondary structure includes four short double-helical elements and three loops (D, anti-codon, and T loops). The record is from RNAcentral.
CCCCGGAUAGCUUAGCGAUAGAGCGUCUGCUUGAUAAGCGGAAGGUCGUUGGUUUGAAUCCAGCUCUGGGGACCA